GAGCGAACGCUAGUGGUAUGCUUAACACAUGCAAGUCGAACGAGGAUGGGUCUAGCUUGCUAGAUUCAAGCCGAGUGGCGAACGGGUGAGUAACGCGUAGGAAUCUACCCAAUAGUAUGGGAUAACACUCAGAAGUGAAUGCUAAUACCGUAUAUUCUCUGCGGAGGAAAGAUUUAUCGCUAUUGGAUGAGCCUGCGUUAGAUUAGCUAGUUGGUGGGGUAAAGGCCUACCAAGGCAUCGAUCUAUAGCUGGUUUGAGAGAAUGAUCAGCCACACUGGAACUGAGACACGGUCCAGACUCCUACGGGAGGCAGCAGUGGGGAAUAUUGGACAAUGGGCGCAAGCCUGAUCCAGCAAUACCAUGUGAAUGAUGAAGGUCUUCGGAUUGUAAAAUUCUUUCAGCGGGAAAGAUGAUGACGGUACCCGCAGAAGAAGCACCGGCUAACUUCGUGCCAGCAGCCGCGGUAAUACGAAGGGUGCUAGCGUUGCUCGGAAUUACUGGGCGUAAAGAGUACGUAGGCUGUCUUAUAAGUUGGAAGUGAAAUCCCGAGGCUCAACUUCGGAACUGCUUUCAAAACUGUAAGACUAGAGUGAAAUCGAGGAUAGCGGAAUUUCUAGUGUAGAGGUGGAAUUCGUAGAUACUAGAAGGAACACCAGAAGCGAAGGCGGCUAUCUAGGUUUAUACUGACGCUGAGGUACGAAAGUGUGGGGAGCAAACAGGAUUAGAGACCCUGGUAGUCCACACUGUAAACGAUGAAUGCUAAGUAUUGGAUUUUAUAUUCAGUGCUGAAGCUAACGCGUUAAGCAUUCCGCCUGGGGAGUACGGUCGCAAGACUAAAACUCAAAGGAAUUGACGGGGACCCGCACAAGCGGUGGAACAUGCUGUUUAAUUCGAUACUACGCGAAAAACCUUACCAGUUCUUGACAUCUGGGUCGCGAAUUCAGAGAUGAAUUCUUCAUUUAGUUGGACCCAAGACAGGUAUUGCAUGGCUGUCGUCAGCUCGUGUCGUGAGAUGUCGGGUUAAGUCCCGCAACGAGCGCAACCCUCACCCUAUUUUGCCAACAGGUUAAGCUGGGAACUAUUAGGGAACUGACGGUGUUAAACCGUAGGAAGGUGGGGACGACGUCAAGUCAUCAUGGUCCUUAUGAACUGGGCUACAAGCGUGUUACAAUGGCAUCUACAGUGAGUAGCUACAUCGCAAGAUGAUGCAAAUCUCAAAAAGAUGUCUCAGUUCGGAUUGGUCUCUGCAACUCGAGACCAUGAAGUUGGAAUCGCUAGUAAUCGCAGGUCAGCAUACUGCGGUGAAUACUGUUCCCGGGUCUUGUACACACUGCCCGUCACGCCAUGGGAGUUGGUUCUACCUGAAGCUGGCAAUUCAAUCCGCAAGGAAGAUAGCUGUCCACGGUAGGAUUAGCGACUGGGGU
Molecule: ribosomal RNA, 1424 nt
Filed under: uncultured bacterium
Lineage: Bacteria
Description: bacterial SSU rRNA
Rfam family: Bacterial small subunit ribosomal RNA
Source: RNAcentral